UGAGCAAUCUGCCCUUCUCAUCGGAAUAAGCGUUGGAAACGACGUCUAAUGCCGAAUACGACCUCCUUUCGCGUGAUCGGAGGUGGAAAGCUCCGGCGGAGAAGGAUGAGCUCGCGGCCUAUCAGCUAGUUGGUGUGGGUAACGGCCCACCAAGGCGACGACGGGUAGCCGGCCUGAGAGGGUGACCGGCCACACUGGGACUGAGACACGGCCCAGACUCCUACGGGAGCAGCAGG
This 236-nucleotide ribosomal RNA is filed under the name uncultured bacterium. Its description in RNAcentral is "partial 16S ribosomal RNA". It matches the Rfam family "Bacterial small subunit ribosomal RNA", at positions 118 to 354 of the family's 1533-position model. The record is from RNAcentral.